This 1343-nucleotide ribosomal RNA is filed under the name Exiguobacterium sp. AM39-5BH. RNAcentral describes it as "partial 23S ribosomal RNA". It matches the Rfam family "Bacterial large subunit ribosomal RNA", at positions 1568 to 2925 of the family's 2925-position model. Lineage: Bacteria; Bacillati; Bacillota; Bacilli; Caryophanales. The record is from RNAcentral.
GUGGAGCCCGUAGGGCGAAGUACCGGAUUUCACGCUGCCAAGAAAAGCCUCUAGUGAGGAGGUCGGCGCCAGUACCGUAAACCGACACAGGUAGGCGAGAUGAGAAUUCUAAGACGCGCGGGAUAACUCUCGUUAAGGAACUCGGCAAAAUGGUCCCGUAACUUCGGGAGAAGGGACGCUUAUGGCGACAUAAGCCGCAGUGAAUAGGCCCAAACGACUGUUUAGCAAAAACACAGGUCUCUGCUAAAUCGCAAGAUGAAGUAUAGGGGCUGACGCCUGCCCGGUGCUGGAAGGUUAAGGGGAUGUGUCAUCGCAAGAGAAGCACUGAACCGAAGCCCCAGUAAACGGCGGCCGUAACUAUAACGGUCCUAAGGUAGCGAAAUUCCUUGUCGGGUAAGUUCCGACCCGCACGAAAGGCGUAACGAUUUGGGCACUGUCUCAACGAGAGACCCGGUGAAAUCAUAGUACCUGUGAAGAUGCAGGUUACCCGCGACAGGACGGAAAGACCCCAUGGAGCUUUACUACAGCCUGAUAUUGAGGCUUUGUACGCGAUGUACAGGAUAGGUGGGAGUUUGUGAAGCCGGAGCGCCAGCUUCGGUGGAGACACCCUUGGGAUACCACCCUUUGCGUAUAGAGUCUCUAACUCGCAGCCGUGACCCGGCUGGAGGACCGUGUCAGGUGGGUAGUUUGACUGGGGCGGUCGCCUCCUAAACAGUAACGGAGGCGCCCAAAGGUUCCCUCAGAAUGGUUGGAAAUCAUUCGAAGAGUGCAAAGGCAGAAGGGAGCUUGACUGCGAGACCUACAAGUCGAGCAGGGACGAAAGUCGGGCUUAGUGAUCCGGUGGUUCCGCAUGGAAGGGCCAUCGCUCAACGGAUAAAAGCUACCCUGGGGAUAACAGGCUGAUCUCCCCCAAGAGUCCACAUCGACGGGGAGGUUUGGCACCUCGAUGUCGGCUCAUCGCAUCCUGGGGCUGGAGUAGGUCCCAAGGGUUGGGCUGUUCGCCCAUUAAAGCGGUACGCGAGCUGGGUUCAGAACGUCGUGAGACAGUUCGGUCCCUAUCCGUCGUGGGCGCAGGAAAUUUGAGGAGAGCUGUCCUUAGUACGAGAGGACCGGGAUGGACGCACCGCUGGUGUACCAGUUGUUCCGCCAGGAGCAUCGCUGGGUAGCUACGUGCGGACGGGAUAAGUGCUGAAAGCAUCUAAGCAUGAAGCCCCCUCCGAGAUGAGAUUUCCCUUUGAGCAAUCAAGAAAGACCCCUCAGAGACGAUGAGGUAGAUAGGUCAUGGGUGGAAGCACGGCGACGUGUGGAGCUGAAUGAUACUAAUCGGUCGAGGCUUUGAUCUA